GUGCCAGCAGCCGCGGUACUACAGAGGGUGCAAGCGUUGUUCGGAAUUAUUGGGCGUAAAGCGCGUGUAGGCGGUCUCGCAAGUUGGGUGUGAAAGCCCUCGGCUCAACCGAGGAAGUGCGCCCAAAACUACAAGACUUGAGUACCGGAGAGGGUGGCGGAAUUCCCGGUGUAGAGGUGAAAUUCGUAGAUAUCGGGAGGAACACCAGUGGCGAAGGCGGCCACCUGGACGGAUACUGACGCUGAGACGCGAAAGCGUGGGUAGCAAACAGGAUUAGAUACCCUGGUAGUCCACGCUGUAAACGAUGAGCGCUAGGUGUUGUGGGUGUUGACCCCUGCAGUGCCGCAGCUAACGCAUUAAGCGCUCCGCCUGGGAAGUACGGCCGCAAGGCUAAA
This 395-nucleotide ribosomal RNA is filed under the name uncultured bacterium. RNAcentral's name for it is "bacterial SSU rRNA". It matches the Rfam family "Bacterial small subunit ribosomal RNA", at positions 505 to 898 of the family's 1533-position model. The record is from RNAcentral.